AUUGAACGCUGGCGGCAGGCCUAACACAUGCAAGUCGAACGGUAACAGAAAGCAGCUUGCUGCUUUGCUGACGAGUGGCGGACGGGUGAGUAAUGUCUGGGAAACUGCCUGAUGGAGGGGGAUAACUACUGGAAACGGUAGCUAAUACCGCAUAACGUCGCAAGACCAAAGAGGGGGACCUUCGGGCCUCUUGCUAUCGGAUGUGCCCAGAUGGGAUUAGCUUGUUGGUGGGGUAACGGCUCACCAAGGCGACGAUCCCUAGCUGGUCUGAGAGGAUGACCAGCCACACUGGAACUGAGACACGGUCCAGACUCCUACGGGAGGCAGCAGUGGGGAAUAUUGCACAAUGGGCGCAAGCCUGAUGCAGCCAUGCCGCGUGUAUGAAGAAGGCCUUCGGGUUGUAAAGUACUUUCAGCGGGGAGGAAGGGAGUAAAGUUAAUACCUUUGCUCAUUGACGUUACCCGCAGAAGAAGCACCGGCUAACUCCGUG
This 490-nucleotide ribosomal RNA is filed under the name uncultured bacterium. RNAcentral's name for it is "partial 16S ribosomal RNA". It matches the Rfam family "Bacterial small subunit ribosomal RNA", at positions 30 to 507 of the family's 1533-position model. The record is from RNAcentral.